RNAcentral lists this long non-coding RNA (255 nucleotides) under Homo sapiens (human). Its description in RNAcentral is "HSALNT0181548". Lineage: Eukaryota; Metazoa; Chordata; Mammalia; Primates; Hominidae. The record is from RNAcentral.
AUGCAAUCCAUCUAAGAGGAAAGAGUUUUUGAGGGAAGGGUGAUCACUGGGCCUCUACAUGCCACACCCGGAAGGCCCAGCAGUGGGGCAAGGAUAGAACACACAGUUUGGCGAUGUGACCCUGCCUGUCUGCACACCUCAGGAUCCCACCACCCAACAGGCAUACAUCUCCUGGAGCUACAGAGAUGCCAAAUGCCAGAGAAGGGAAGCAGGAAGGGAGAUGAAGACAAGGAACUCUGAAAAAUGGAAGCAGAA